GAGUCUGACGGAGCACGCCGCGUGAGUGAUGAAGGCUUUCGGGUCGUAAAACUCUGUUGUUAGGGAAGAACAAGUGCUAGUUGAAUAAGCUGGCACCUUGACGGUACCUAACCAGAAAGCCACGGCUAACUACGUGCCAGCAGCCGCGGUAAUACGUAGGUGGCAAGCGUUAUCCGGAAUUAUUGGGCGUAAAGCGCGCGCAGGUGGUUUCUUAAGUCUGAUGUGAAAGCCCACGGCUCAACCGUGGAGGGUCAUUGGAAACUGGGAGACUUGAGUGCAGAAGAGGAAAGUGGAAUUCCAUGUGUAGCGGUGAAAUGCGUAGAGAUAUGGAGGAACACCAGUGGCGAAGGCGACUUUCUGGUCUGUAACUGACACUGAGGCGCGAAAGCGUGGGGAGCAAACAGGAUUAGAUACCCUGGUAGUCCACGCCGUAAACGAUGAGUGCUAAGUGUUAGAGGGUUUCCGCCCUUUAGUGCUGAAGUUAACGCAUUAUUCACUCCCCCCGGGGAGUACGGGCGCAAGGCUGAAA
RNAcentral lists this ribosomal RNA (529 nucleotides) under Bacillus amyloliquefaciens. Its description in RNAcentral is "bacterial SSU rRNA". It matches the Rfam family "Bacterial small subunit ribosomal RNA", at positions 379 to 899 of the family's 1533-position model. Lineage: Bacteria; Bacillati; Bacillota; Bacilli; Caryophanales; Bacillaceae. The record is from RNAcentral.